GAUGAAGAACGCAGCGAAAUGCGAUAAGUAAUGUGAAUUGCAGAAUUCAGUGAAUCAUCGAAUCUUUGAACGCACAUUGCGCCCGCCAGUAUUCUGGCGAGCAUGCCUGUUCGAGCGUCAUUUCAACCAUCAAGCCCCAGGCUUGUGUUGGAGCCCUGCGGCUGCCGCAGCCUCCCAAAACCAGUGGCGGGCUCGCUAUCACACCGAGUGCAGUAGUUUACUCUUCGCUCAGGGCGUGUGGCGGGUGCUAGCCGUGAAACCCCCAACUUCUCAAGGUUGACCUCGGAUCAGGUAGGAAUACCCGCUGAACUUAAGCAUAUCAAUAAGCGGCGGA
This 334-nucleotide unclassified non-coding RNA is filed under the name soil metagenome. RNAcentral's name for it is "partial contains 5.8S ribosomal RNA, internal transcribed spacer 2, and large subunit ribosomal RNA". The stretch from base 1 to 120 matches the Rfam family "5.8S ribosomal RNA", at positions 35 to 154 of the family's 154-position model. The record is from RNAcentral.